UACGUAGGCUGCGAGCGUUGUUCGGAAUUACUGGGCGUAAAGAGUGUGUAGGCGGUGCUUUUAGUUCGGUGUGAAAUCUCCUGGCUUAACUGGGAGGGUGCGCCGGAAACUGGGGUGCUCGAGCGUGGGAGAGGAAAGCGGAAUUCCUGGUGUAGCGGUGAAAUGCGUAGAUAUCAGGAGGAACACCUGUGGUGUAGACAGCUUUCUGGACCAUUGCUGACGCUGAGACACGAAAGCGUGGGUAGCAAACAGG
RNAcentral lists this ribosomal RNA (253 nucleotides) under uncultured bacterium. RNAcentral describes it as "partial 16S ribosomal RNA". It matches the Rfam family "Bacterial small subunit ribosomal RNA", at positions 524 to 776 of the family's 1533-position model. The record is from RNAcentral.